RNAcentral lists this ribosomal RNA (477 nucleotides) under uncultured bacterium. Its description in RNAcentral is "bacterial SSU rRNA". It matches the Rfam family "Bacterial small subunit ribosomal RNA", at positions 30 to 525 of the family's 1533-position model. The record is from RNAcentral.
AUUGAACGCUGGCGGCAUGCCUUACACAUGCAAGUCGAACGGCAGCACGGGAGCAAUCCUGGUGGCGAGUGGCGAACGGGUGAGUAAUAUAUCGGAACGUGCCCAGUCGUGGGGGAUAACGUAGCGAAAGCUACGCUAAUACCGCAUACGAUCUAUGGAUGAAAGCGGGGGAUCGCAAGACCUCGCGCGAUUGGAGCGGCCGAUAUCAGAUUAGGUAGUUGGUGAGGUAAAGGCUCACCAAGCCGACGAUCUGUAGCUGGUCUGAGAGGACGACCAGCCACACUGGGACUGAGACACGGCCCAGACUCCUACGGGAGGCAGCAGUGGGGAAUAUUGGACAAUGGGCGAAAGCCUGAUCCAGCAAUGCCGCGUGAGUGAUGAAGGCCUUAGGGUUGUAAAGCUCUUUUACCCGGGAUGAUAAUGACAGUACCGGGAGAAUAAGNUCCGGCUAACUCCGUGCCAGCAGCCGCGGUAAAG